GCCCCCUUCGUCUAGUGGCCAAGGACACCGGGUUCUCAGUCCGGUAACACGGGUUCGACUCCCGUAGGGGGUA
RNAcentral lists this transfer RNA (73 nucleotides) under Planctomycetota bacterium. RNAcentral describes it as "Planctomycetes bacterium tRNA-Glu". It matches the Rfam family "tRNA". Rfam says of the family: Transfer RNA (tRNA) molecules are approximately 80 nucleotides in length. Their secondary structure includes four short double-helical elements and three loops (D, anti-codon, and T loops). Lineage: Bacteria; Pseudomonadati; Planctomycetota. The record is from RNAcentral.